Molecule: small nuclear RNA, 106 nt
Filed under: Cebus imitator (Panamanian white-faced capuchin)
Lineage: Eukaryota; Metazoa; Chordata; Mammalia; Primates; Cebidae
Source: RNAcentral
GUGCUCGCUUCGGCAGCACAUAUACGAAAAUUGGAAUGAUACAGAGAAGUAUGCAUGGCCCCUGCGCAAGGAUGACAUGCAAAUUCGUGAAGUGUUCCAUAUUUUU